RNAcentral lists this ribosomal RNA (484 nucleotides) under uncultured bacterium. RNAcentral's name for it is "partial 16S ribosomal RNA". It matches the Rfam family "Bacterial small subunit ribosomal RNA", at positions 30 to 507 of the family's 1533-position model. The record is from RNAcentral.
AUUGAACGCUGGCGGCAGGCCUAACACUUGCAAGUCGAGCGGAUGAAGGGAGCUUGCUCCUGGAUUCAGCGGCGGACGGGUGAGUAAUGCCUAGGAAUCUGCCUGGUAGUGGGGGAUAACGUCCGGAAACGGGCGCUAAUACCGCAUACGUCCUGAGGGAGAAAGUGGGGGAUCUUCGGACCUCACGCUAUCAGAUGAGCCUAGGUCGGAUUAGCUAGUUGGUGGGGUAAAGGCCUACCAAGGCGACGAUCCGUAACUGGUCUGAGAGGAUGAUCAGUCACACUGGAACUGAGACACGGUCCAGACCCCUACGGGAGGCAGCAGUGGGGAAUAUUGGACAAUGGGCGAAAGCCUGAUCCAGCCAUGCCGCGUGUGUGAAGAAGGUCUUCGGAUUGUAAAGCACUUUAAGUUGGGAGGAAGGGCAGUAAGUUAAUACCUUGCUGUUUUGACGUUACCAACAGAAUAAGCACCGGCUAACUUCGUG